GAUGAACGCUAGCGGCAGGCCUAACACAUGCAAGUCGAGGGAGGAGCCUUCGGGCUUCGACCGGCGUACGGGUGCGUAACGCGUAUACAAUCUGCCUUUCACAUAGGGAUAGCCCGAAGAAAUUUGGAUUAAUACCUAAUGGUAUAUAGAUGUGGCAUCACCUUUAUAUUAAAGCUGAGGCGGUGAAAGAUGAGUAUGCGUUCUAUUAGCUAGUUGGAGAGGUAACGGCUCCCCAAGGCGACGAUAGCUAGGGGUUCUGGGAGGGAUAUCCCCCACACGGGUACUGAGAUACGGACCAGACUCCUACGGGAGGCAGCAGUGAGGAAUAUUGGACAAUGGUCGGAAGACUGAUCCAGCCAUGCCGCGUGCAGGAAGACGGCCUUAUGGGUUGUAAACUGCUUUUGCAGGGGAAGAAUAAGGACUACGCGUAGUUUGAUGACGGUACUCUGCGAAUAAGCAUCGGCUAACUCCGUG
RNAcentral lists this ribosomal RNA (474 nucleotides) under uncultured bacterium. Its description in RNAcentral is "partial 16S ribosomal RNA". It matches the Rfam family "Bacterial small subunit ribosomal RNA", at positions 28 to 507 of the family's 1533-position model. The record is from RNAcentral.